This 303-nucleotide ribosomal RNA is filed under the name uncultured bacterium. Its description in RNAcentral is "partial 16S ribosomal RNA". It matches the Rfam family "Bacterial small subunit ribosomal RNA", at positions 507 to 809 of the family's 1533-position model. The record is from RNAcentral.
AGCAGUCGCCGCGGGAAUACGAAGGGUGCAAGCGUUACUCGGAAUUACUGGGCGUAAAGCGUGCGUAGGUGGUGGUUUAAGUCCGUUGUGAAAGCCCUGGGCUCAACCUGGGAAUUGCAGUGGAUACUGGAUCACUAGAGUGUGGUAGAGGAUAGUGGAAUUUCCGGUGUAGCAGUGAAAUGCGUAGAGAUCGGAAGGAACAUCUGUGGCGAAGGCGACUAUCUGGGCCAACACUGACACUGAGGCACGAAAGCGUGGGGAGCAAACAGGAUUAGAUACCCCCGUAGUCCCUGUCUCUUAUAA